GCGUAAGAAGGCACGGCACUCUGCCGUGCCCAGCGGCACGGUAGAGGAGCCGGUUCCCCCGCUCCCCCCGCGCCACUCCACUGCCUCGCGUCAUUCCCAACUCCGGCCGCCGAUCCAGCGCGCCGCGCGACGCGCCGGUUGUCAUGCUGGUCGCCGUCACCAGCGAUCUCGCCGCCGCCCCGUCACCAGCGACCGAGCCGCCUCCCCAUCCGCCCUCGUUCACCGUCCCACCCCCUCUUCAGCGCCGGCAGGGCGUCUCCGCGCUCGCCGCGUCUAUGGGCAUCGCCAUCGGCCUCUCCUCUCCGGCACCGGCAGGGCGACACCGCAAGCGACGCGCGGGAGCAGCUCCAGCUCGAGGGGAUGCGGUUGUGGCGGAGGCCGAGUGCCGUCUGCUCGCCUUCAUCGCCGCGGCGAGCAUCGAGGCCGUGUCCCUCUACGAGCUCUUCACGCGGCGCUAACCGUCGGCCCUCCACUGCGCUCUAAUCCCCCUCCCUCUGCAAGCUACUCGUCGGCCGGCACCACUCCCUCCAACUGGGCGACGCGCAGUGGCCGGAUGCCGGCGACGACGUCGAGGAGUCCAUGCGCGGCAGAGGGUUGGCGAUGCGUCCCCCAACCCGGGACGACGACGACUUCACCUCCGUGCGUGAGGAGACGGAUGUGCCAGCCCUCCCUUCCUCACCUUACCUUAGUCUGCGCACACCAGGCAAGGCGGAUUCGCGCCGUCGUCAAGGGCUCGCGCGCCGCUUCCUCGUCUGCUUCUGAUCCGCCGUGGAGGCGUGCGCCGUGCCUUGGGCUUGCAGCAAAGCUUAGGUCCAACGUGCAGACUGCAGCCAGUCCGCCCAUGUCUCAACACAUCACACUGAAUUGUUGAUGAAUGAAGAGGGGGGCGUCUUGAAGCUGCAUUCUUCAUCGUCUUUCUUCUCCAGGGAAGCAGAGCGUCCACGCAUUCUCUCCCAGGAGGUAUAAAUCAAAUCCCGCUAUGUCGUGCUAGGUCAUUUCCGUUUGGGGGAUUUAGGUAUGUUGUCAACGAUGGCAAAUUCGAGCCGGAUCAGUCUGGGGUGUGAUAUGGCUGAAAAUUGAGGCAGAGAUGAGAUGGAUCUUUUAGUUUCCUCACACUUUGUUGGUGGAGUAGAUGCAUCACAGAUUCACAAUGUAUAUUGGGAAGUACAGUAGUUGUUUUGUUCAUGGUGUUUUUGAUGGGUCUUUUCCUCUGAUCUAACCAUGUAUAGGGGAAGUAGUUGUUUUGUUCACUGAUGGUUGUCCAUUUCUGUAAAUUGUCUAUAAUGUGAUUCUGCCAUAGCAAAUCUUCAACAUAUCUUGCUAUGGGUAGCUCAAGAUCGAGUUUGCCAUGGCAAACUUAAAGAUUUGUUGUCUUUCUGCCA
Long non-coding RNA from Aegilops tauschii subsp. strangulata, 1382 nucleotides. RefSeq lists it as uncharacterized. NCBI's taxonomy places the organism in Eukaryota, Viridiplantae, Streptophyta, Magnoliopsida, Poales, Poaceae. The record is from RefSeq and is a predicted model, not a curated record.